RNAcentral lists this ribosomal RNA (1590 nucleotides) under Triticum aestivum (bread wheat). RNAcentral's name for it is "partial small subunit ribosomal RNA". The record is from RNAcentral. Lineage: Eukaryota; Viridiplantae; Streptophyta; Magnoliopsida; Poales; Poaceae.
AUGGCAGGGCAGGGCAGCUACAGCCGGCUCGCCGCCGACGAGGCCGCCGCCGUCAUAUCCGGCGGCGGCGGCGACGACUACGACUCAAAAAAGCUUCGGCUGCUCGGCUACGAGCCGCAGCUCAAGCGCAAUCUCUCGCUGCUGUCCAACUUCUCGGUGACCUUCUCGAUCGUGUCGGUGCUGACGGGCAUCACGACGCUGUACGGGACGGGGCUCCAGUUCGGGGGGCCGGUGACGAUGGUGUACGGCUGGCCCAUUGCCGGCGCCUUCACCACCGUCGUCGGCCUGGCCAUGGCCGAGAUCUGCUCCGCCUACCCGACCUCCGGCGGCCUCUACUUCUGGAGCGCCAGGCUCUGCAGCGAGCGCCGCUGGGGCCCCUUCGCCUCCUGGCUCACCGGAUGGUUUAACAUCGUUGGACAGUGGGCAGUGACAACGAGCGUGGACUACUCGCUGGCGCAGCUGAUCCAGGUGAUCAUCCUGCUGAGCACCGGCGGGAACAACGGCGGAGGGUACCUGGCGUCCAAGUACGAGGUCAUCGCCAUCCACGCCGCCAUCCUGCUCAGCCACGCCCUCAUCAACAGCCUCCCCAUUGCAUGGCUCUCCUUCUUCGGCCAGUUCGCGGCGGCUUGGAACAUGCUAGGUGUCUUCGUCCUCAUGAUUGCCGUGCCGGCCGUUGCCACGGAGAGGGCCAGCGCCAAGUUCGUCUUCACCAAUUUCAACACCGACAACGGCGCUGGAAUACACAGCCAUGUCUACAUCUUCCUCCUGGGGCUCCUCAUGAGCCAGUACACGCUCUUAGGUUACGACGCGUCGGCGCAUAUGACGGAGGAGACCAAGAACGCAGACAAGAACGGGCCGAUCGGGAUCAUCAGCGCCAUCGGCAUAUCGAUAGUGGUCGGCUGGGGAUACAUACUCGGCGUCACCUUCGCCGUGAAGGACAUACCCUCCCUGCUGAGCCCCGACAAUGAAGCUGGAGGGUACGCCAUCGCCCAGGUCUUCUACCAGGCCUUCAAAAGCCGCUACGGCAGCGGCGUCGGCGGGAUCGUCUGCCUGGGGAUCGUCGCCGUCGCCAUUUACUUCUGCGGCAUGAGCUCCGUCACAAGUAACUCGAGGAUGGCGUAUGCUUUCUCGAGAGACGGCGCGAUGCCGCUGUCGUCCGUGUGGCACAAAGUGAACGAGCACGAGGUGCCCAUCAACGCCGUCUGGCUCUCGGCUUUCGUCUCCCUCUGCAUGGCGUUGCCGUCGCUGGGUAGCCUGGUGGCGUUCCAGGCCAUGGUGUCCAUCGCCACGAUCGGGCUCUACAUCGCGUACGCGCUGCCCAUCUUCUUCCGGGUGACGCUGGCGCGGAAGCACUUCGUGCCGGGACCCUUCAACCUGGGGCGCUACGGCGUGCUGGUGGGGUGGGUGGCCGUGCUCUGGGUGGUCACCAUCACCGUGCUCUUCUCGCUGCCGGUGAUGUACCCGGUGACCAGGGACACGCUCAACUACACGCCCGUCGCCGUCGGCGGGCUCUUCAUCCUCGUCCUGACGUCGUGGGUCGUCAGUGCCAGGCACUGGUUCAAGGGACCCGUCACCAAUUUGAGCGGCUAG